GGAGAGGUUCCCGAGUGGUCAAAGGGGGCAGACUGUAAAUCUGUUAGCUAAGCUUUCGAAGGUCCGAAUCCUUCUCUCUCCA
Molecule: transfer RNA, 82 nt
Filed under: Spirochaetales bacterium
Lineage: Bacteria; Pseudomonadati; Spirochaetota; Spirochaetia; Spirochaetales
Also listed under: 1 other name
Description: tRNA-Tyr
Rfam family: tRNA
About the family: Transfer RNA (tRNA) molecules are approximately 80 nucleotides in length. Their secondary structure includes four short double-helical elements and three loops (D, anti-codon, and T loops). Further hydrogen bonds mediate the characteristic L-shaped molecular structure. tRNAs have two regions of fundamental functional importance: the anti-codon, which is responsible for specific mRNA codon recognition, and the 3' end, to which the tRNAs corresponding amino acid is attached (by aminoacyl-tRNA synthetases). tRNAs cope with the degeneracy of the genetic code in two manners: having more than one tRNA (with a specific anti-codon) for a particular amino acid; and 'wobble' base-pairing, i.e. permitting non-standard base-pairing at the 3rd anti-codon position.
Source: RNAcentral